AUUGAACGCUGGCGGCAUGCCUUACACAUGCAAGUCGAACGGCAGCGGGGGAGAAGCUUGCUUUUCCUGCCGGCGAGUGGCGAACGGGUGAGUAAUACAUCGGAACGUUCCCUGUAGUGGGGGAUAACUAGUCGAAAGAUUAGCAAAUAACGCAUACGACCUGAGGGUGAAAGUGGGGGACCGCAAGGCCUCAUGCUAUAGGAGCGGCCGAUGUCUAAGUAGCUAGUUGGUGGGGUAAAGGCCUACCAAGGCGACGAUCAGUAGCUGUCUGAGAGGACGAUCAGCCACACUGGAACUGAGACACGGCCCAGACUCCUACGGGAGGCAGCAGUGGGGAAUUUUGGACAAUGGGCGAAAGCCUGAUCCAGCAAUGCCGCGUGUGUGAAGAAGGCCUUCGGGUUGUAAAGCACUUUUGUCCGGAAAGAAAUGGCUCUGGUUAAUACCUGGGGUCGAUGACGGUACCGGAAGAAUAAGGACCGGCUAACUACGUGCCAGCAGCCGCCGUAA
This 507-nucleotide ribosomal RNA is filed under the name uncultured bacterium. RNAcentral's name for it is "partial 16S ribosomal RNA". It matches the Rfam family "Bacterial small subunit ribosomal RNA", at positions 30 to 523 of the family's 1533-position model. The record is from RNAcentral.